GGCGCGCGCUCGCGACGUGCCUCCCGGGCUGUGGACCCGGGGAGCGCGCGCCCCAAUAGGGGGCGGCUUCAGCGCUUCCCGGUAGCUCUCAGACAAAAGGCGGGGGCGGGCAAGGCAUCGCGUUACCGUUGAGCCGGACAGUGAACUGGCGGCGCCGACGGUCGUGCUCCACGCGGAUCGGGUGCUGUUGCCCAAACAUUGCUUCCUUUGGGAAGCCCUAACUGAUGCUCCUCAGUCAGCCUGGGUCCAGAGGACAUUCCCCCUCUUCUGGUCCCUGGCAGGACACAGUGCAAGCCAAGCCCAGCAUGAGAGCCCAGGAUCCUCCCUGUUUUUGACUCCCUUCUUUGUCUCCUACUUUAAAAUAAAUGUCUAUUAGCUUAUUAGGGUCUUUGAAACUUUCAGAAAUCCUUUGUGGAACAAGGCAGUGUAUCUGUCAAUAAAGCGAGUGAUUAAUGUUUGCUGAA
This is a long non-coding RNA of Artibeus jamaicensis (Jamaican fruit-eating bat), 464 nucleotides long. RefSeq lists it as uncharacterized. Lineage: Eukaryota; Metazoa; Chordata; Mammalia; Chiroptera; Phyllostomidae. The transcript is spliced from 2 exons. The record is from RefSeq and is a predicted model, not a curated record.